GGGCGUGACGGGGUGUGGGCCCAUUAUCUGUUGAAAUGUCGCUGUGCUGACAGGUCUGAGAUCAGCAGCUUCCCACAGUCACACGAUCCACAGCUGCACAGCAUGCUGGGACUCCUGAGGGUCCGGUGAUCUAUUGGUGUAUCGAUCUGCUGAUUGGCCGACAGGAUGACCAGCGACUAUUACCCGUAUUCCAAGGAGACUUAUGGAACAUGGAGACAUUUCCACAACAUACAUGUCAACAAAACCAGGUUCAAAGACGUGAACAUUUAUGAUAACAACUCUUUAAAUAUCUCCAUAUGAUACUAUGAUACUGUUAACAGACAUAAAAUAAAUCAAAUCACUGAAGACUUUUAUUGUUUAAAUCUCAGUGAUUCUGUGGUUUUCAUAUUUUUAACUGUCUCUCAUUAUGUUUCAUAGCCGUCGUAGUAGUUUAUUUUAUAAUAUUUGAUUCUUUGUGUGAAGUUCUUAACUUCUAUACAUUUUUAUUUCUUGUGUCUAUGUUUAUUGUUAUGCUGUUGGCGACGAUGAAAACUGUGACGCUGUGCUUUCAUUGGCUAGAUGAAAAAAUAAAUAAAUCAUAAGAGCAAAUAAAGUAAAUAUAUAUGAAUGAAUAAGUAAAUUGACAAAUUCAUAAAUAAGCAAAUUAAUGAUUGAAUAAAUAAAAAAGUAAAUGGAUGAAUUAUUUAAUUAUAUGUAAGUCAAUAAAUGAAUGCAUAACUAAAUGCCAUUGACAUAAUUAUGUGUUUUAACGCGCUUCGUGUAUAUAUUAUAUACACGAAGUAACUUUCUAUUAAAUAUUGAUAUAUAUCUAUAUAUUGUAUAUACGACCACUAUGAAUAUAAUAACAAUAAUAACAAGCAAAUUUUCAAGUAUGAAAUUGACAAAAUGUUGUUAAAUAUAAAAAUAGUGCAAAUCAAUACUAGACAUUGACGAUGUACAUUUUUCUAACCAAAUAAAAGAAUUAAAAAAAGAAUGAAUACCUAUUAAAUAAUAUUUGACCUCCUUUUAUAGUUUUUAUUGAUCAACAUAUGAAGUUUCUACCUGGGGGCCGUUUUGGGGGUCGCGAGCAUCAAGUUGAGCCCCAGUGUGUGUGUGUGUGUGUGUGUGUGAGAGCGUGUGUGCGUGUGUGUGUGUGUGUGUGUGUGUGUGUGUGUGCGUGUGUGUGUGUGUGUGUGUGUGUGUGUGUACAGUAGGAAGAAGAAACAGCCAAUCAGAUCGUCUCUUUUCUGCCCGGAAGUCUUGGUCCUGCAGCCGUUUGUUCCACCUAAUUACCGAACCAAUACAGGACCAAUACCGGGUCAUUACCGGGUCAACACCGGGUCAACGCCGGACCAACACCGGGCCACUACCGGGCCGAUACCGGCUCUUUACCGCGUUAAAGUGGGACGCCGGGGAACCUCCGCGGUCCGGUUACCGGAGGGAACACCUGCCCGGUGCGUCGCCCGGUUCACACCGACUCGCUUGCGGGUCGGAGGAUUUUAACGGGUCACGGCACGAGCGGACUUCGUCCGUUCGUGGGUCCACGAGCCGGACGAUGUCGGUGAACGAGCUCUACUCAAAGGUGAGUGACCCUACCUGUGGGGCACGGUGACGUCACGGCGGCGCGAGGACGCUGAAACAAUAUGCCAAUCAUUUCCGCGGCUGAUUAACGGGAGGCCGAACGAACCGGGGAACCGGGCAGAGUUCUGCUGCCGAGUCGCGCGCUGACGUUCAGCGCUUUAAGUGGUGAUUCUUUAAAAUACACGUUUAUCAAUAUGGAGUCCGGCGGCGCGCUGCGCGGGCACGAGCGGGCUCAGAGCAAAUGUAAAUGAUUGUUUUCAUGCGGUUUGGAAGCAAAGAGACAUUUUGAAAUGUUGUACAACGAUGUGAAAGUAGUUUGUGAAAUGAAUAUAUAUGAAUUCUACUUCUUAAACACUGAUAAUAAGCAUCGUCAUCGUCGUUAAUACACAAAUGACUACUUACUAAACUUUAUCAACACACCCACAGAGAUGCUUGCAGCUGUCUUCUGCUUCAGGUUGUUGUGACGUCACAGUGACGUCAUGGGGCUAAAGGUUCGGCAGCCGGCGGUCUCCAGGUGCAUUGUGGGAAACGGGGCUUCGACUUGAGUUUGACCCGCAGUGACGCGACGCGGUUUGACGGAUCAAUAGAUUUGAUUUUGAUGAGUUUUAGAAACAUAAUUCACUUUUAAUACGUAGAGAAUCUGAAUUAUAUGUUUAUUAGCUCAUAACAUCAUAAAUCAAUCAGUGAAAACCUCUUCAAACAAUUGGAUUUAUGAUGUUCAAACUCAAAUAGUUAAUAAUCAAUAGCACAAACAUAAAGAGAUUAAAUUUAACACAUCAAUCUGCUACAUGGAUUGAUCUUAAAAUAUGAGAUGAGUGAAUUUGUGGAUAAUGUGUCGUGUUAUUAUUAAUUGUAACAAUAAUCUCUUCUCGCAGUGUUUCAUAUGGUUAUUCUCACUCAAUGAUCAAUAAAUAAACCGUUUGUGUUGAGUAGAGAUGAGACUGAGACGGUUGACGACGUGUGAUGAAGCUUUGGGGUCUUAAGGAAGAGGAUUACCCUGAAGGGGGGGGGGGGGGAUUUAAUGUCUCCCUCAAUCUGUUUGUACAUUUCAUUUGGGGAGAUUGUUGAAGAGACACUUUGCUAAUCCUUGCUGGUUACCCAAUAACUAGCAGUGCGUCAGAGUGAAGUAUCGGUCGUCAUAGCGACAUCAUCAUUAGUUUGUGGACUUCAUGAAGCCUCCAGUUCUUUUUCUUGUUUUUUUAUCACCCGUUGAACAGGAAGUGACCAAUUAGGAAUGAGUAGGAGGGCGUACUGACGCCUUAUUCAUCUGUUAGAGACCUGUCAAUCAGCGUCUAGCCCCGCCCUAAAGCAUCUCCUGCUUUAUGGUCUAUUGGCGACCUGUCAAUCACGUCCCCUUGUCUCACUUUUUGACGUGAUCUGAAGAUCAAAACUCCUUGUCAGGUAAAUGGGUUAAUUUUACUUCCUGUGGGACACGCCCGCCUCCUCUGUGAUGUCACGGCGUGACUCAUCAGUGGGCGGAGCCUUGAGGCAACCCGAAACCAGGCUGCUCUCAGUGCAGUGAGACAGAUUCAAACGGUCUCACUGCUUCAAAUCAGUGAGGUUCCUACUGAACCUGCUCCUCUAGUUCUCCUCCUCCACCUCCCUGUGUGUGUGUGUGUGUGUGUGUGUGUGUGUGUGUGUGUGUGUGUGUGUGUGUGUGCGUGUGUAUAUAUAUAUAUCUAUAUAUAUAUACAUCUAUAUAUAUAUAUAUAUAUAUAUAUAUAUAUAUAUAUAUAUAUGACAGAGUCUCAUACGAGCUUCUGCUUCAUGUAACUGCGAAAAAGCAAAUAUGGCUGCUAAAUAUUUACCGGCAUGUGGAACACUUCCUGUUUCUAAAGAAUCCUUCUUUGUCCGAUAGAAGUAAAAGUCAAUUGAUAAUAAAUGAUGAAUAAGUUAAUAUUUGUGAUGACAUAAUGAGGCGAGCAAACACUGAGCUGUUGUUGUUGUGUCGUUGUUGACUCACUU
This is a long non-coding RNA of Gasterosteus aculeatus aculeatus (three-spined stickleback), 3525 nucleotides long. The record is from Ensembl. Lineage: Eukaryota; Metazoa; Chordata; Actinopteri; Perciformes; Gasterosteidae.